This is a long non-coding RNA of Oncorhynchus tshawytscha (Chinook salmon), 371 nucleotides long. The record is from Ensembl. Lineage: Eukaryota; Metazoa; Chordata; Actinopteri; Salmoniformes; Salmonidae.
GAGGGUCAGGGUGGAGGUGGUGACACCACGCUGCUGUCCUCAGGGUGUGAGGGUCAGGGUGGAGGUGGUGACACCAUGCUGCUGUCCCCAGGGUGUGAGGGUCAGGGUCAGGGUGGAGGUGGUGACACCAUGCUCCUGUCCCCAGGGUGUGAGGGUCAGGGUCAGGGUGGAGGGAGAGCCCUGCCUCCUGGGGCUCCCCACCCUUUCAUGUGCUCAUCACUCUGACGUGGAAACUAGUGCUGCUGCAGACAAGGAGUCAAAUAUCAUGUCAAAUGGGAUCGCACUGCAAAAAGGCCAAAGGGCGGCUUUAGGGAGUGUGUGCAUGCAUGCUCACGACUGGGUGACUGCACGAUUCUGUGUGUACGUGCGCU